This 257-nucleotide ribosomal RNA is filed under the name uncultured Gardnerella sp. RNAcentral describes it as "partial 16S ribosomal RNA". It matches the Rfam family "Bacterial small subunit ribosomal RNA", at positions 103 to 355 of the family's 1533-position model. Lineage: Bacteria; Bacillati; Actinomycetota; Actinomycetes; Bifidobacteriales; Bifidobacteriaceae. The record is from RNAcentral.
CGGGUGAGUAAUGCGUGACCAACCUCGCCCCAUGCUCCAGAAUAGCUCUUGGAAACGGGUGGUAAUGCUGGAUGCUCCAACUUGACGGCAUGUCUUGUUGGGAAAGUGUUUAGUGGCAUGGGAUGGGGUCGCGUCCUAUCAGCUUGUAGGCGGGGUAAUGGCCCACCUAGGCUUCGACGGGUAGCCGGCCUGAGAGGGCGGACGGCCACAUUGGGACUGAGAUACGGCCCAGACUCCGUACGGGGAGGCAGCAGUUU